UGAAGCAUGUAUUCAGCGGUGCUGAUGCUAAGAUAACAGAAGCAGCAGCAGUCUCUGCCCUGGCUCCCUCUGCUCCUGAGGAAGAAGCCAAAGAAGAGCAAAAUGCGCAAGAUGACCACAAGCCUGCAGCUGUGGUCACAGCAGAGCCUGAUGGUUCCAAGAGAAUAACAGAAGCAGCAGCAGUCUCUGCCCUGGCUCCCUCUGCUCCUGGAGAAGAAGCCAAAGAGGAGCA
Vidua macroura (Pin-tailed whydah) is the source of this 232-nucleotide long non-coding RNA. RefSeq lists it as uncharacterized. The transcript has 3 exons. The record is from RefSeq and is a predicted model, not a curated record. NCBI's taxonomy places the organism in Eukaryota, Metazoa, Chordata, Aves, Passeriformes, Viduidae.